GUUGUAUGGUUAAGUGACUAAGCGUACACGGUGGAUGCCUUGGCAGUCAGAGGCGAUGAAAGACGUAGUAACUUGCGAUAAGCCCAGAUUAGGUAGUAACAACCAUUUGAGUCUGGGAUUUCUGAAUGGGGAAACCCACGUGCAUAAGCACGUAUCCUUACCUGAAUACAUAGGGUAAGGAGGCGAACCGGGGGAACUGAAACAUCUAAGUACCCCGAGGAAAAGAAAUCAACCGAGAUUCCGAAAGUAGCGGCGAGCGAAAUUGGACUAGCCCUUAAGCUUUACACGCGUUAGACGAACGGUCUGGAAAGUCCGACGAUACAGGGUGAUAGUCCCGUAGUUGACGACGUGUGUUCAGUGAAAUCGAGUAGGGCGGGACACGUGAUAUCCUGUCUGAAUAUGGGGGGACCAUCCUCCAAGGCUAAAUACUACUGACUGACCGAUAGUGAACCAGUACCGUGAGGGAAAGGCGAAAAGAACCCCUGUGAGGGGAGUGAAAUAGAACCUGAAACCGUGUACGUACAAGCAGUAGGAGCAGGCUUUGUCCUGUGACUGCGUACCUUUUGUAUAAUGGGUCAGCGACUUAUAUUCAGUGGCAAGGUUAACCAUCUAGGGGAGCCGUAGGGAAACCGAGUCUUAACUGGGCGUUCAGUCUCUGGAUAUAGACCCGAAACCAGGUGAUCUAGCCAUGGGCAGGUUGAAGGUUGAGUAACAUCAACUGGAGGACCGAACCGACUAAUGUUGAAAAAUUAGCGGAUGACUUGUGGCUAGGGGUGAAAGGCCAAUCAAACCUGGAGAUAGCUGGUUCUCCCCGAAAGCUAUUUAGGUAGCGCCUCGGACGAAUACUACUGGGGGUAGAGCACUGUUAAGGCUAGGGGGUCAUCCCGACUUACCAACCCUUUGCAAACUCCGAAUACCAGUAAGUACUAUCCGGGAGACACACGGCGGGUGCUAACGUCCGUCGUGGAGAGGGAAACAACCCAGACCGCCAGCUAAGGUCCCAAAUUACUACUAAGUGGGAAACGAUGUGGGAAGGCUCAGACAGCCAGGAUGUUGGCUUAGAAGCAGCCAUCAUUUAAAGAAAGCGUAAUAGCUCACUGGUCGAGUCGGCCUGCGCGGAAGAUGUAACGGGGCUAAGUAGUAAACCGAAGCUGCGGCAAUGUGCUUUUGCACAUUGGGUAGGGGAGCGUUCUGUAAGCGGUUGAAGGUGUGUGGUAACGCAUGCUGGACGUAUCAGAAGUGCGAAUGCUGACAUGAGUAACGAUAAAGGGGGUGAAAAACCUCCUCGCCGGAAGACCAAGGGUUCCUGUCCAACGUUAAUCGGGGCAGGGUAAGUCGACCCCUAAGGCGAGGCCGAAAGGCGUAGUCGAUGGGAAACGGGUUAAUAUUCCCGUACUUCUUACAAUUGCGAUGGGGGGACGGAGAAGGCUAGGUGGGCCUGGCGACGGUUGUCCAGGUUCAAGUGCGUAGGCUU
This 1474-nucleotide ribosomal RNA is filed under the name Vibrio parahaemolyticus. RNAcentral describes it as "bacterial LSU rRNA". It matches the Rfam family "Bacterial large subunit ribosomal RNA", at positions 1 to 1527 of the family's 2925-position model. The record is from RNAcentral. Lineage: Bacteria; Pseudomonadati; Pseudomonadota; Gammaproteobacteria; Vibrionales; Vibrionaceae.